This 72-nucleotide transfer RNA is filed under the name Crassvirales sp. Its description in RNAcentral is "tRNA-Lys". It matches the Rfam family "tRNA". Rfam says of the family: Transfer RNA (tRNA) molecules are approximately 80 nucleotides in length. Their secondary structure includes four short double-helical elements and three loops (D, anti-codon, and T loops). Lineage: Duplodnaviria; Heunggongvirae; Uroviricota; Caudoviricetes; Crassvirales. The record is from RNAcentral.
CAUAAAUUAACUAAGCGGUAUAGUACAAAACUUUUAAUUUUGAUGUCAUAGGUUCGAUUCCUAUAUUCAUGA